Long non-coding RNA from Gossypium arboreum, 613 nucleotides. RefSeq lists it as uncharacterized. The transcript has 2 exons. The record is from RefSeq and is a predicted model, not a curated record. Lineage: Eukaryota; Viridiplantae; Streptophyta; Magnoliopsida; Malvales; Malvaceae.
AAGCGCCGUUAAAGGUCAUGAUCUUUAGCGGCGUUUUUUCAAAUAAACGCCGCAAGCUUUAGUGGCGCCAUCUAUAGCGGCGUUUUUUGCGGCACUUUUACAAGCGCCGUUAAAGACCUUAAAAAACGCCGCUAAAAGUCAAUUUUGCUGCAGUGAAUAGGAGUAAGAAAAUCCUAUCUUCUCACUAUUAAGGUUGGGUUCUCCUUCGAUUGAGUACUUUGUUUUUCUAAUAGCAUCAAUGUGUUCUUUAAGUGACGCCAUUACUAACACAAGUUUCCUUAAUUUCUUUUUUCUCAACGAAAAUGGAAGUUAAGAGCAAGUACAGAGCAGAGAGUGGACCUAAAAAAGGAGGACCUUUUAGUUUCUCCCGUAGAAAAGAAAACCCCAACGCGAAGGGCUUCAUACGGGCAAUGCUUGCCUGCAACUCUCAAUACCAGCGUACUUUUAGCAAUGUGGCAUUUCUCCCUACUCCAACAUUCUUGUUAUGGAUCUUGUUAACUUUGCUUGAAUAUAAACUCGGGAUUUGUAUUUCCUAUUUUCUCUUGUGUAUGUUUAAUUAUUACUGAAAUUUGGAAAAGGAUAUACAUCAAAACCGGUAUAGCUUUCAUUACAA